UCAGAGGGGGGCAGGGGGACAGAGACUGGCACCAUACAGAGAGCCCGACGUGGGACUCGAUCCCGGGUCUCCAGGAUCACGCCGGGCUGCAGGCGGUGCUAAACCGCUGUGCCACCGGGGCUGCCCCAUAUACCACACUUCCUUACCCAUUCAUCUUUCGAUGGACACCGAGGCUCCUUCCACAUUCCCACCAACAGUACGAGACGGUCUCCCUUUCUCCACAUCCUCUCCAACAUUUGUUGUUUCCUGCUUUGUUAACUUUCCCCAUUCUCACUGGUGUGAGGUGGGAUCUCAUUGUGGUUUUGUUUGUAUUUCCCUGAUGGCAAGUGAUGCGGAGCAUUUUCUCAUGUGCGUGUUGGCCAUGUCUAUGUCUUCCUCUGUGAGAUUUCUGUUCAUGUCUUUUGCCCAUUUCAUGAUUGGAUUGUUUGUUUGUUUGCUGUUGAGUUUGAUAAGUUCUUUACAGAUCUAGGAUACUAGCCCUUUAUCUGAUAGGCUAUUUGCAAAUAUCUUCUCCCAUUCUGUAGGUUGUCUUUUAGAUUUGUUGACUGUUUCUUUUGCUGUGCAGAAGUUUUUAUCUUGAUUAAGUCCCAAUAAUGCAUUUUUGCUCUUGUUUCCCUGGCCUUCAUAGAUGUAUCUUGUAAGAAGUUGCUUAGCCAAGCUCAAAAAGGGUGUUUCCUGUGUUCUCCUCUAGGAUUUUGAUGGACUCUUGUCUCACAUUUAGAUCUUUCAUCCAUUUUGAGUUUAUCUUUGUGUAUGGUGUAAGAGAGUGGUCUAGUUUCAUUCUUCUGCAUGUGGAUGUCCAAUUUUCCCGGCACCAUUUAUCGAAGAGAGUGUCCUUUUUCCAGUGGAUAGUCUUUCCUGCUUUGUCGAAUAUUAGUUGACCAUACAGUUGAGGGUCCACUUCUGGGUUCUCUGUUCUGUUCCAUUGAUCUCUGUGUCUGUUUUUCUGCCAGUACCACACUGUCUUGAUGACCACAGCUUUGUAGUCCAACCUGAAAUCUGGCAUUGUGAUGCCCCCGGCUCUGGUUUUCUUUUUCAAUAUUCCCUUGGCUAUUUGGGGUCUUUUCUGAUUCAAUACAAAUCUUAGGAUUAUUUGUUCCAACUCUCUGAAGACAGUCCAUGGUAUUUUAAUAGGGAUUGUGUUAAAUGUGUAAAUUGUCCUGGGUAGCGUUGACAUUUUCACAAUAUUAAUUCUUCCAAUCCAUGAGCAUUGAAUAUGUUUCCAUCUCUUUGUGUCUUCCUCAAUUUCUUUCAGAAGUGUUCUAUAGUUUUGAGGGUAUAGAUCCUUUACAUCUUUGGUUAGGUUUAUUCCUAGGUAUCUUAUGCUUUUGGGUGCAAUUGUAAAUGGGAUUGACUCCUUAGUUUCUCUUUCUUCAGUCUCAUUGUUAAUGUAUACAAAUGCCACUGAUUUCUGGGCAUUGGUUGUGUAUCCUGCCAUAUUGCCGAAUUACUGUGUGAGUUCUAGCAAUCUUGGGGUGGAGUCUUUUGGGUUUUCUAUGUACAGUAUCAUGUCAUCUACAAGGAGGGAGAGUUUGACUUCUUCUUUGCCAAUUUGAAUGCCUCUUCUUCCUUUGUUGUCUGAUUGCUGAGGCUAGCACUUCCCGUACUAUGUUGAAUAGCGGUGGUGAGAGUGGACAUCCCUGUCGUGUUCCUGAUCUUAGGGGAAAGGCUCCCAGUGUUCCCUAUUGAGAAUGAUAUUUGCUGUGGGCUUUUCGUAGAUGGCUUUUAAGAUGCUGAGGAAUGUUCCCUCUAUCCCUCCACUCUGAAGAGUUUUGAUCAGGAAUGGAUGCUGUAUUUUGUCAAAUGAUUUCUCUUCAUCUAAUGAGAGGAUCAUAUGGUUCUUGGUUUUUCUCUUGCUGACAUGAUGAAUCACAUUGAUUGUUUUAUGAGUGUUGAACCAGCCUUGCAUCCCGGGGAUAAAUCCCACAUGGUCAUGGUGAAUAAUCUUAAUGUACUGUUGGAUCCUAUUGGCUACUAUCUUGGUGAGAAUUUUUGCAUCUGUGUUCAUCAGGGAUAUUGGUCUGUAAUUCUCCUUUUUGGUGGGGUCUUUGUCUGGUUUUAGAAUUAAGGUGAUGCUGGCCUCAUAAAACGGUUU
Molecule: long non-coding RNA, 2095 nt
Filed under: Canis lupus familiaris (dog)
Lineage: Eukaryota; Metazoa; Chordata; Mammalia; Carnivora; Canidae
Description: lncRNA (ENSCAFG00000058064.1, ENSCAFG00845014731.1)
Source: RNAcentral